This 428-nucleotide ribosomal RNA is filed under the name Chloroflexota bacterium. RNAcentral describes it as "Chloroflexi bacterium partial 16S ribosomal RNA". It matches the Rfam family "Bacterial small subunit ribosomal RNA", at positions 355 to 776 of the family's 1533-position model. Lineage: Bacteria; Bacillati; Chloroflexota. The record is from RNAcentral.
UGGGGAAUAUUGCACAAUGGGCGCAAGCCUGAUGCAGCCAUGCCGCGUGUGUGAAGAAGGCCUUCGGGUUGUAAAGCACUUUCAGCGGGGAGGAAGGCGAUAAGGUUAAUAACCUCAUCGAUUGACGUUACCCGCAGAAGAAGCACCGGCUAACUCCGUGCCAGCAGCCGCGGUAAUACGGAGGGUGCAAGCGUUAAUCGGAAUUACUGGGCGUAAAGCGCACGCGGGCGGUUGAUUGAGUCAGAUGUGAAAUCCCGGGCUUAACCCGGGAAUUGCAUCUGAUACUGGUCAGCUAGAGUCUUGUAGAGGGGGGUAGAAUUCCAUGUGUAGCGGUGAAAUGCGUAGAGAUGUGGAGGAAUACCGGUGGCGAAGGCGGCCCCCUGGACAAAGACUGACGCUCAGGUGCGAAAGCGUGGGGAGCAAACAGG